This is an RNA transcript of Mandrillus leucophaeus (drill), 405 nucleotides long. It is a transcript of the gene named phosphoglycerate mutase 1 pseudogene, with no coding region annotated. The transcript is spliced from 2 exons. The record is from RefSeq and is a predicted model, not a curated record. Lineage: Eukaryota; Metazoa; Chordata; Mammalia; Primates; Cercopithecidae.
GUGCUGCAUCCUCAGCCCGCCGCCAUGUCCGCCUACAAGCUGCUGCUGAUCCGGCACGGCGAGAGCGCAUGGAACCUGGAGAACCGCUUCAGCGGCUGGUACGUCGCCGACCUGAGCCCAGCGGGCCACGAGGAGGCGAAGUGUGGCGGGCAUGCGCUGCGAGAUGCUGGCUAUGAGUUUGACAUCUGCUUCACCUCAGUACAGAAGAGAGCGAUCCGGACCCUCUGGACAGUGCUAGAUGCCAUUGAUCAGAUGUGGCUGCCAGUGGUGAGGACUUGGCGCCUCAAUGAGCGGCACUAUGGGGGUAACUUGAAGCCUGUCAAGCCCAUGCAGUUCCUGGGGGAUGAAGAGAUGGUGCGCAAAGCCAUGGAAGCUGUGGCUGCCCAGGGCAAGGCCAAGAAGUGA